AAGUGACGCCAUCUGGUGGAAGAUGGAGCUAUUUGAAAGUAAUAGCAGAGACAUUUGUACAAGAAGUGAGUUUGACAGGCACAAACACAGUUCAUUACCUUCAUGUUAAUUAAUUCAAUGCAUGUGAAUGAAUGAACCUUUUUUAGAAUUGAAAGCCUCCUAUUUCAGUGUCUUAAUUUGUCCGUUCUGACGAGUUAAAUUGAUUUUCUUCAGAAGUUGAUGUGGAGAUCCUGCAUUAAUUGGUCAUUUUGGAGAGAUUUUCACUCUUCUUAGAUCCAAUUGGAUACGAAUACCAAAAUGAUUAUUUAGCUUAAUAUGAAUCGAGGACACAUUCAAAUCGAUAUUGAGUUUUUUUGUUUGUUUGUUUUUUGUGCAAAAUUCACACAGUGCUGCCAUCUAUCGGCUAUGCACUUCUCCUGAAGACUUUACAGAAAUAAUGACAAAGUAGAUGUAGAAAAGAAACAAAAUAAACACAAAACAAAUAAAUACCGAAUAAGUUACACAUCUAGUUUUAUAAAUUCGUUUGAUUUGGUCGUUUCUUCAAUCCGUUAACUUUAACAAUCACGUGACUACCAACAGGAGGGACUUUGCGUGUUUUUGUCUUCUUCAGGACAAGACAAAAGUUUCCUCAGUCAUCGAACUGGAUGGUAAAAUAUCCUGCAAAAUCAUGGACCGACUUUUGACCGUCAUUGGACAACAACAUAUAGGUCUUACGGUGGGAUUGAGUUUGAUGAUCGUCGUUGUGGUUGUCGUCCUCGCGACGGUUGUUUACACUCCACCGGGCGCCACAACGCGCUGCUUGAGAAGAAACAGGAGCGAAGAACACCUCUCUCUGACUGCUAACACGAUUUCAUGACUGCUAACAGAAACAUAUUCACUUUAUGGAUCUCUUUGGAGAAUUGUUUCUGAAAAAUGACUUCCAAAACAAAUCACAGUUACCAUGGAAAUGUAUUAAAAUGUCAUUGACAUUUCUAAAGUGA
Molecule: long non-coding RNA, 980 nt
Organism: Carassius gibelio (silver crucian carp)
Lineage: Eukaryota; Metazoa; Chordata; Actinopteri; Cypriniformes; Cyprinidae
Exons: 2
Source: RefSeq, a predicted model, not a curated record